GGAGUUCUUUAUCUUCUUUAGUUCUGUUCCAAUGUUCCUUUCUUCAAUUUCAUCGCCCCUCUUCUGCUCUUUCAUGGCUCUCUCACGAUAGAAGCAAUGAGUCUCUCAUGACAGGAGUACUCAGUUCGCUUAAGACAUUAGCCGCCUCCGAGGAUGAUGCAUUAGCGGAGUUGGUAAUAAUUGAGCUGGCAACAAGAUGAUGUCUGUUUGAUUCAGCUUUGUUUUCUCCUACUCGCGCUAAGAGAACCCUUUUAUUAGCUUGCAUCUUUCUAUAUAGGCAGAAUACAUAGUUUACCCCCAGAACUAUGGACCAAAUCCCUGUGACACACCUUUUGGGAACAAAAAUUACCUUACACACUCAACAUUUCCAAAGUGUAUCUAAUACACACUACUUUUACACUCGUGA
Molecule: long non-coding RNA, 406 nt
Organism: Nicotiana tabacum (common tobacco)
Lineage: Eukaryota; Viridiplantae; Streptophyta; Magnoliopsida; Solanales; Solanaceae
Source: RefSeq, a predicted model, not a curated record